RNAcentral lists this ribosomal RNA (466 nucleotides) under uncultured bacterium. Its description in RNAcentral is "partial 16S ribosomal RNA". It matches the Rfam family "Bacterial small subunit ribosomal RNA", at positions 28 to 507 of the family's 1533-position model. The record is from RNAcentral.
GAUGAACGCUGGCGGCGUGCUUAACACAUGCAAGUCGAACGGAAAGGCUCCUGCUUGUAGGGGUACUCGAGUGGCGAACGGGUGAGUAACACGUGGGUGAUCUGCCCUGCACUUCGGGAUAAGCCUGGGAAACUGGGUCUAAUACCGGAUAGGACGAUGGUUUGGAUGCCAUUGUGGAAAGUUUUUUCGGUGUGGGAUGAGCUCGCGGCCUAUCAGCUUGUUGGUGGGGUAAUGGCCUACCAAGGCGUCGACGGGUAGCCGGCCUGAGAGGGUGUACGGCCACAUUGGGACUGAGAUACGGCCCAGACUCCUACGGGAGGCAGCAGUGGGGAAUAUUGCACAAUGGGCGCAAGCCUGAUGCAGCGACGCCGCGUGGGGGAUGACGGCCUUCGGGUUGUAAACUCCUUUCGCUAGGGACGAAGCGCAAGUGACGGUACCUGGAGAAGAAGCACCGGCUAACUACGUG